RNAcentral lists this ribosomal RNA (686 nucleotides) under Parachlorella kessleri. RNAcentral describes it as "eukaryotic LSU rRNA". The stretch from base 242 to 395 matches the Rfam family "5.8S ribosomal RNA". The record is from RNAcentral. Lineage: Eukaryota; Viridiplantae; Chlorophyta; Trebouxiophyceae; Chlorellales; Chlorellaceae.
CAAUCGAACCCACACCGGUAACCAAACACCCCCCCCUUGCCUAACCCCCAAGGGGCGCCAGUCCCCUGGCCCGGGCCACAUCCGUGCCCCGGUGUCCAGGUCUGGCGGGGUGGGGGGCGGCCUCGGCUGCCCCUCCGCCUGGUAAUCUCUUAUACCUAACCUCAACACACCCCAAACCUGUAAACCAAACUGAAGCCAAUCGAGUCGGAGGGGGAAACCCCGACGGCCACGAACCAAUGACAACUCUCAACAACGGAUAUCUUGGCUCCCGUAUCGAUGAAGAACGCAGCGAAAUGCGAUACGUAGUGUGAAUUGCAGAAUUCCGUGAACCAUCGAAUCUUUGAACGCAACUUGCGCCCGAGGCUCCGGCCGAGGGCAUGCCUGCCUCAGCGUCGGUUUACACCCCCUCGCCCCCACCCCCUUGUGGGUAGUGGGAGCGGACCUGGCACCCUCGGGCUGCUGUCGGAAACCCUCCGACUGCCGGCCCGGGUCUGCUGAAGUUCAGAGGCUUGAGCAUGGACCCCGUUUGCAGGGCACCGGCUUGGUAGGUAGGCGUCAGCCUGCACCCCGCCUGCCGGUACCCGAGGGGACUUUGCUGGGAGCCCGACCGGGAGCCGAUUCGUCGACCUCCCACCCUUCAAACCUUCGACCUGAGCUCAGGCAAGACUACCCGCUGAACUUAAGCA